RNAcentral lists this unclassified non-coding RNA (330 nucleotides) under soil metagenome. RNAcentral describes it as "partial contains 5.8S ribosomal RNA, internal transcribed spacer 2, and large subunit ribosomal RNA". The stretch from base 1 to 120 matches the Rfam family "5.8S ribosomal RNA", at positions 35 to 154 of the family's 154-position model. The record is from RNAcentral.
GAUGAAGAACGCAGCGAAUUGCGAUAAGUAGUGUGAAUUGCAGACUCCAGUGAAUCAUCGAAUCUUUGAACGCACAUUGCGCUUUCUGGUAUUCCGGAAAGCAUGUCUGUCUGAGCGUCAGCUUACCCUCAAACUUAUGUUUGGUUUUGAGAAAUGAAGGUUUCCUUCCCUCUCUAAAAGCAAUGGCGAACAAUCCAGCUGUACGACGUAGUAAAAUAAUUCUCGUUAGUUGCUAGUUGGUGAGUGCUGCCACAAUGACACUUUUCUGUGUUUGACCUCAGAUCAGGUAGGGAUACCCCCUGAACUUAAGCAUAUCAAUUAAGCGGAGGA